AAAUGAAUUGACGGGGGCCCGCACAAGCAGCGGAGCAUGUGGUUUAAUUCGAAGCAACGCGAAGAACCUUACCAGGGCUUGACAUCGCCUGAAGCUGGUAGAAAUACCGGUGUCCCCUUUUUGGGGCAGGCAGACAGGUGGUGCAUGGUUGUCGUCAGCUCGUGUCGUGAGAUGUUGGGUUAAGUCCCGCAACGAGCGCAACCCCUGUCUUUAGUUGCUAACAGGCAAGCUGAGCACUCUAAAGAGACUGCCGGAGACAAUUCGGAGGAAGGUGGGGACGACGUCAAAUCAUCAUGCCCCUUAUGCCCUGGGCUACACACGUGCUACAAUGGCCUCUAACAGCGGGAAGCGAAGGGGUAACCCGGAGCCAAUCCCUUAAACGGGGUCCCAGUUCGGAUUGUGGGCUGCAACUCGCCCACAUGAAGCCGGAGUUGCUAGUAAUCGCGAAUCAGCAUGUCGCGGUGAAUGCGUUCCCGGGCCUUGUACACACCGCCCGU
This 497-nucleotide ribosomal RNA is filed under the name uncultured bacterium. RNAcentral describes it as "bacterial SSU rRNA". It matches the Rfam family "Bacterial small subunit ribosomal RNA", at positions 903 to 1397 of the family's 1533-position model. The record is from RNAcentral.